UCGGGAAUAUUGCACAAUGGAGGAAACUCUGAUGCAGUGACGCCGCGUAUAGGAAGAAGGUUUUCGGAUUGUAAACUAUUGUAGACAGGGAAGAAACAAGACAGUACCUGUAAAGUAAGCCCCGGCUAACUAUGUGCCAGCAGCCGCGGUAAUACAUAGGGGGCAAGCGUUAUCCGGAAUUAUUGGGCGUAAAGGGUGCGUAGACGGGAAACUAAGUUAGUUGUGAAAUCCCUCGGCUUAACUGAGGAACUGCAACUAAAACUGGUUUUCUUGAGUGCAGGAGAGGAAAGCGGAAUUCCUAGUGUAGCGGUGAAAUGCGUAGAUAUUAGGAGGAACACCAGUGGCGAAGGCGGCUUUCUGGACUGCAACUGACGUUGAGGCACGAAAGUGUGGGGAGCAAACAGGAUUAGAUACC
This 415-nucleotide ribosomal RNA is filed under the name uncultured bacterium. RNAcentral describes it as "bacterial SSU rRNA". It matches the Rfam family "Bacterial small subunit ribosomal RNA", at positions 355 to 786 of the family's 1533-position model. The record is from RNAcentral.